CCGAGUGUAGCUCAGUUGGUAGAGCGAUUGACCUGUAGUGUUCUAUACUGUGUUUCAGUAUUCCUCGGGAAUCAAAUGGUCGCUGGUUCGAUUCCGGCCACUCGGA
RNAcentral lists this transfer RNA (106 nucleotides) under Phytophthora infestans T30-4. RNAcentral describes it as "tRNA-Thr for anticodon UGU". It matches the Rfam family "tRNA". Rfam says of the family: Transfer RNA (tRNA) molecules are approximately 80 nucleotides in length. The record is from Rfam by way of RNAcentral. Lineage: Eukaryota; Oomycota; Peronosporomycetes; Peronosporales; Peronosporaceae.